UGGCGGCAGGCCUAACACAUGCAAGUCGUAGCGGAUGUAAGGAGCUUGCUCCUGGAUUCAGCGGCGGACGGGUGAGUAAUGCCUAGGAAUCUGCCUGGUAGUGGGGGAUAACGUCCGGAAACGGGCGCUAAUACCGCAUACGUCCUGAGGGAGAAAGUGGGGGAUCUUCGGACCUCACGCUAUCAGAUGAGCCUAGGUCGGAUUAGCUAGUUGGUGGGGUAAAGGCCUACCAAGGCGACGAUCCGUAACUGGUCUGAGAGGAUGAUCAGUCACACUGGAACUGAGACACGGUCCAGACUCCUACGGGAGGCAGCAGUGGGGAAUAUUGGACAAUGGGCGAAAGCCUGAUCCAGCCAUGCCGCGUGUGUGAAGAAGGUCUUCGGAUUGUAAAGCACUUUAAGUUGGGAGGAAGGGCAGUAAGUUAAUACCUUGCUGUUUUGACGUUACCAACAGAAUAAGCACCGGCUAACUUCGUGCCAGCAGCCGCGGUAAUACGAAGGGUGCAAGCGUUAAUCGGAAUUACUGGGCGUAAAGCGCGCGUAGGUGGUUCAGCAAGUUGGAUGUGAAAUCCCCGGGCUCAACCUGGGAACUGCAUCCAAAACUACUGAGCUAGAGUACGGUAGAGGGUGGUGGAAUUUCCUGUG
RNAcentral lists this ribosomal RNA (644 nucleotides) under Pseudomonas aeruginosa. Its description in RNAcentral is "bacterial SSU rRNA". It matches the Rfam family "Bacterial small subunit ribosomal RNA", at positions 37 to 675 of the family's 1533-position model. Lineage: Bacteria; Pseudomonadati; Pseudomonadota; Gammaproteobacteria; Pseudomonadales; Pseudomonadaceae. The record is from RNAcentral.